RNAcentral lists this ribosomal RNA (501 nucleotides) under uncultured bacterium. RNAcentral describes it as "partial 16S ribosomal RNA". It matches the Rfam family "Bacterial small subunit ribosomal RNA", at positions 30 to 523 of the family's 1533-position model. The record is from RNAcentral.
AUUGAACGCUGGCGGCAGGCUUAACACAUGCAAGUCGAGCGGGGGAAGGUAGCUUGCUACUGGACCUAGCGGCGGACGGGUGAGUAAUGCUUAGGAAUCUGCCUAUUAGUGGGGGACAACAUCUCGAAAGGGAUGCUAAUACCGCAUACGUCCUACGGGAGAAAGCAGGGGAUCUUCGGACCUUGCGCUAAUAGAUGAGCCUAAGUCGGAUUAGCUAGUUGGUGGGGUAAAGGCAUACCAAGGCGACGAGCGGUAGCGGGUCUGAGAGGAGGGUCCGCCACACUGGGACUGGGCCACGGCCCAGACUCCUACGGGAGGCAGCAGUGGGGAAUAUUGGACAAUGGGGGGAACCCUGAUCCAGCCAUGCCGCGUGUGUGAAGAAGGCCUUAUGGUUGUAAAGCACUUUAAGCGAGGAGGAGGCUACUCUAGUUAAUACCCAGGGAUAGUGGACGUUACUCGCAGAAUAAGCACCGGCUAACUCUGUGCCAGCCGCCGCCGUAA